UUAAUGGAGAGUUUGAUCCUGGCUCAGGACGAACGCUGGCGGCGUGCCUAAUACAUGCAAGUCGAGCGAGGUUACUUAGAAGCUUGCUUCUAAGUAACCUAGCGGCGGACGGGUGAGUAACACGUAGGCAACCUGCCCACAAGACAGGGAUAACUACCGGAAACGGUAGCUAAUACCCGAUACAUCCUUUUCCUGC
Molecule: ribosomal RNA, 196 nt
Filed under: Paenibacillus ottowii
Lineage: Bacteria; Bacillati; Bacillota; Bacilli; Caryophanales; Paenibacillaceae
Description: Paenibacillus sp. MS2379 partial 16S ribosomal RNA
Rfam family: Bacterial small subunit ribosomal RNA
Source: RNAcentral